GACGAACGCUGGCGGCGUGCUUAACACAUGCAAGUCGAACGGUGAAGCGCCUUCCUUUUUGGUGGGUGUGGAUGAGUGGCGAACGGGUGAGUAACACGUGAGUAACCUGCCCCCUUCUUCUGGAUAACCGCAUGAAAGUGUGGCUAAUACGGGAUAUUCUGGGUCUGUCGCAUGAUGGGACUGGGAAAGAUAUUGUUUCGGUGGGGGAUGGGCUCGCGGCCUAUCAGCUUGUUGGUGGGGUGAUGACCUACCAAGGCGGUGACGGGUAGCCGGCCUGAGAGGGUGGACGGUCACACUGGGACUGAGACACGGCCCAGACUCCUACGGGAGGCAGCAGUGGGGAAUAUUGCACAAUGGGCGCAAGCCUGAUGCAGCGACGCCGCGUGAGGGAUGGAGGCCUUCGGGUUGUGAACCUCUUUCGCCAGUGAAGCAGGCCUGCCUCGUUUGUGGGUGGGUUGACGGUAGCUGGAUAAGAAGCGCCGGCUAACUACGUG
This 494-nucleotide ribosomal RNA is filed under the name uncultured bacterium. Its description in RNAcentral is "partial 16S ribosomal RNA". It matches the Rfam family "Bacterial small subunit ribosomal RNA", at positions 28 to 507 of the family's 1533-position model. The record is from RNAcentral.